UGACAGUACUCCUACGGGGAGGCAGCAGUGGGGGAAUAUUGCACAAUGGGCGCAAGCCUGAUGCAGCCAUGCCGCGUGUGUGAAGAAGGCCUUCGGGUUGUAAAGCACUUUCAGUCGUGAGGAAGGUAGUGUAGUUAAUAGCUGCAUUAUUUGACGUUAGCGACAGAAGAAGCACCGGCUAACUCCGUGCCAGCAGCCGCGGUAAUACGGAGGGUGCGAGCGUUAAUCGGAAUUACUGGGCGUAAAGCGCAUGCAGGUGGUUUGUUAAGUCAGAUGUGAAAGACCCGGGGCUCAACCUCGGAAUAGCAUUUGAAACUGGCAGACUAGAGUACUGUAGAGGGGGGUAGGAAUUUCAGGUGUAGCGGUGAAAUGCGUAGAGAUCUGAAGGAAUACCGGUGGCGAAGGCGGCCCCCUCGGACAGAUACUGACACUCAGAUGCGAAAGCGUGGGGAGCAAACAGGAUUAGAUACCCUGGUAG
RNAcentral lists this ribosomal RNA (478 nucleotides) under uncultured bacterium. RNAcentral's name for it is "bacterial SSU rRNA". It matches the Rfam family "Bacterial small subunit ribosomal RNA", at positions 328 to 793 of the family's 1533-position model. The record is from RNAcentral.